UUGCUCUUCAACGAGGAAUUCCUAGUAAGCGCGAGUCAUCAGCUCGCGUUGACUACGUCCCUGCGCUUUGUACACACCGCCCGUCGCUCCUACCGAUUGAAUGGUCCGGUGAAGUGUUCGGAUCGCGGCGACGUGGGCGGUUCGCCGCCAGCGACGUCGCGAGAAGUCCACUGAACCUUAUCAUUUAGAGGAAGGAGAAGUCGUAACAAGGUUUCCGUAGGUGAACCUGCGGAAGGAUCAUUGUCGAAACCUGCCCAGCAGAACGACCCGCGAACCCGUGACACCACGCCGAGGGGCGGAGGAGGGGUGCGAGCCCCGAUCUCCCUCCCUCUUCGGGUCGAGCGGGCCGUCGUUUUUCCGUGCGUCCGUUGCCCGAGCCCUCGGCACGUGGCACGGCGCUCGGGGGGCGGCAGCCUCGCAGACCCGACCAAACAACGAACCCGGCGCGAACGGCGCCAAGGAAAUCGAAAACGGAACGGGCGUGCCUUCGCUUCACCGUCGGUGUUGCGGGGCGUCGUCAAAACUCCGAUCUCAAAACGACUCUCGGCAACGGAUAUCUCGGCUCUCGCAUCGAUGAAGAACGUAGCGAAAUGCGAUACUUGGUGUGAAUUGCAGAAUCCCGUGAACCAUCGAGUCUUUGAACGCAAGUUGCGCCCUAGGCCAUUAGGCCGAGGGCACGCCUGCCUGGGCGUCACGCAUCGUGUCGCUCCCCCCGGCCACCCCACGGGAUGGCCGGUUUGGGAGCGGAGAUUGGCCCCCCGUGUGCCGUGUGCGCACGCGGCCGGCCUAAAAGCUGGGCCCCUGGCGGUCGACGUCACGACGAGUGGUGGUUGACACGUGAUACCCCUUGCCUUAUCGGACGUCGUGCACGCUCGACCGCACGCGGGGCCCCGGAGACCCCGAAGAACCGUCGUCAAGGACGACGCUCUCACUGCGACCCCAGGUCAAGCGGGGCCACCCGCUGAGUUUAAGCAUAUCAAUAAGCGGAGGA
This 991-nucleotide ribosomal RNA is filed under the name uncultured eukaryote. RNAcentral's name for it is "eukaryotic LSU rRNA". The stretch from base 1 to 243 matches the Rfam family "Eukaryotic small subunit ribosomal RNA", at positions 1593 to 1831 of the family's 1831-position model. The record is from RNAcentral.